GUUUCUUAUUAUUACAUUUUUUGG
RNAcentral lists this small nuclear RNA (24 nucleotides) under Arabidopsis thaliana (thale cress). RNAcentral describes it as "snRNA_09233". Lineage: Eukaryota; Viridiplantae; Streptophyta; Magnoliopsida; Brassicales; Brassicaceae. The record is from RNAcentral.